GGAGGAAAGUAGGGGAUCGCAAGACCUUACGCUUUUGGAGCGGCCGAUGUCUGAUUAGCUUGUCGGUGAGGUAAAGGCUUACCAAGGCUUCGAUCAGUAGCUGGUCUGAGAGGACGACCAGCCACACUGGGACUGAGACACGGCCCAGACUCCUACGGGAGGCAGCAGUGGGGAAUUUUGGACAAUGGGGGAAACCCUGAUCCAGCCAUGCCGCGUGAGUGAAGAAGGCCUUCGGGUUGUAAAGCUCUUUCAGCCGGAACGAAACGGUUACGAUUAAUACCUGUAACUACUGACGGUACCGGAAGAAGAAGCACCGGCUAACUACGUGCCAGCAGCCGCGGUAAUACGUAGGGUGCGAGCGUUAAUCGGAGUUACUGGGCGUAAAGCGUGCGCAGGUGGUUUUGUAAGUCAGAUGUGAAAUCCCCGGGCUUAACCUGGGAACUGCGUUUGAAACUACAAGGCUAGA
This 466-nucleotide ribosomal RNA is filed under the name uncultured ammonia-oxidizing beta proteobacterium. Its description in RNAcentral is "bacterial SSU rRNA". It matches the Rfam family "Bacterial small subunit ribosomal RNA", at positions 198 to 645 of the family's 1533-position model. The record is from RNAcentral. Lineage: Bacteria; Pseudomonadati; Pseudomonadota; Betaproteobacteria.